Molecule: ribosomal RNA, 433 nt
Filed under: uncultured bacterium
Lineage: Bacteria
Description: partial 16S ribosomal RNA
Rfam family: Bacterial small subunit ribosomal RNA
Source: RNAcentral
AACGAACGCUGGCGGCAGGCUUAACACAUGCAAGUCGAGCGAAACCUUCGGGUCUAUCGGCGGACGGGUGAGUAACGCGUGGGAACGUGCCCUUCUCUACGGAAUAGCCUCGGGAAACUGGGAGUAAUACCGUAUACGCCCUUUGGGGGAAAGAUUUAUCGGAGAAGGAUCGGCCCGCGUUGGCUUAGGUAGUUGGUGGGGUAAUGGCCCACCAAGCCGACGAUCCAUAGCUGGUUUGAGAGGAUGAUCCGCCACACUGGGACUGAGACGCGGCCCAGACUCCUACGGGAGGCAGCAGUGGGGAAUCUUAGACAGCGGGGGCAACCCUGAUCGAGCCAUGCCGCGUGAGUGAUGAAGGCAUUAGGGUUGUAAAGCUCUUUCAGAUGGGAAGAUAAUGACGGUACCAGCAGAAGAAGCCCCGGCUAACUUCGUG